Molecule: transfer RNA, 72 nt
Filed under: Toxocara canis (dog roundworm)
Lineage: Eukaryota; Metazoa; Nematoda; Chromadorea; Rhabditida; Toxocaridae
Rfam family: tRNA
About the family: Transfer RNA (tRNA) molecules are approximately 80 nucleotides in length. Their secondary structure includes four short double-helical elements and three loops (D, anti-codon, and T loops).
Source: Rfam by way of RNAcentral
CGGGUAGUAGCGAAGUGGUAGAGCUCCCGCUUCGUAUGCGGGAAGACCUCGGUUCGAUUCCUGGCUGCUUAC